AUGAAUCCCGAGUAUGAUUACCUCUUCAAGCUUUUGCUUAUUGGAGACUCGGGUGUUGGCAAGUCAUGUCUUCUGUUAAGAUUUGCAGACGACUCGUACCUGGAUAGUUACAUCAGUACUAUUGGAGUUGAUUUCAAAAUAAGGACUGUGGAGCAGGACGGAAAGACUAUCAAGCUGCAAAUUUGGGACACUGCUGGGCAAGAACGUUUUAGAACUAUUACCAGCAGCUACUACCGAGGGGCCCAUGGGAUUAUUAUCGUCUAUGAUGUGACAGACCAAGAUAGCUUCAACAAUGUGAAGCAGUGGUUGAACGAGAUUGACCGCUAUGCCAGUGAGAAUGUGAACAAGCUUCUCGUGGGGAACAAAUGUGAUCUGGCUGACAAAAGAGCUGUGUCAUAUGAAACAGCAAAGGCAUUUGCUGAUGAGAUUGGCAUCCCAUUCAUGGAGACCAGCGCAAAGAACGCCCUGAAUGUUGAACAGGCUUUCAUGGCCAUGGCUGCUUCAAUCAAGGAUAGGAUGGCGAGCCAGCCAGCCGCAAACAACGCUCGCCCAGCUACUGUACAGAUCCGCGGGCAACCUGUCGAGCAGAAGACCAGCUGUUGCUCUUCUUAG
This 612-nucleotide ribosomal RNA is filed under the name Triticum aestivum (bread wheat). RNAcentral describes it as "partial small subunit ribosomal RNA". The record is from RNAcentral. Lineage: Eukaryota; Viridiplantae; Streptophyta; Magnoliopsida; Poales; Poaceae.